GCCCCCUUGAUAAUUAUAGGGGGUAAAGCCUGCUCAGUGAUUUUUAAAUAUUAAACAGCCGCUGUACCUUGACCGUGCUAAGGUAGCAUAAUCAAUUGACUUUUAAAUGAAGUCUGGAAUGAAAGGAUCUACGGGAUGAAGCUGUCUCAUAAUCUAUUAUUGUAAAUUUACUAAUUAGGUGCAAAGGCCUAAAAAAGAUAAAAGACGAGAAGACCCUUAGAGUUUAGACUAAAAGUUUUGUUGGGGCGACAAAGAAUCAAUUAAACAUUCUUAAUCGAAAUUUGACGAUAUUUAUUAAGACUAGAUAAACUACCUGAGGGAUAACAGCAUUAUCUAUUUUGGGAUUAUGACCUCGAUGUUGGACUAGGAAGCCUAUUAGCUAGUCGCUAAUAAAGGGGAAUUCUGUUCGAAUUUUUAACUUCC
RNAcentral lists this ribosomal RNA (423 nucleotides) under Aglaona valdesi. RNAcentral's name for it is "partial large subunit ribosomal RNA". It matches the Rfam family "Archaeal large subunit ribosomal RNA", at positions 1911 to 2666 of the family's 2987-position model. The record is from RNAcentral. Lineage: Eukaryota; Metazoa; Mollusca; Gastropoda; Cephalaspidea; Aglajidae.